This 253-nucleotide ribosomal RNA is filed under the name uncultured bacterium. RNAcentral describes it as "partial 16S ribosomal RNA". It matches the Rfam family "Bacterial small subunit ribosomal RNA", at positions 524 to 776 of the family's 1533-position model. The record is from RNAcentral.
UACGUAGGGUGCGAGCGUUGCCCGGAUUUAUUGGGCGUAAAGGGCGCGUAGGCGGCUCGGCACGUCCGUUGUGAAAUCGCUCGGCUCAACUGGGCGAGGUCAGCGGAUACGGUCGAGCUUGAGCCAGCUAGGGGGCAAUGGAAUUCCCGGUGUAGUGGUGGAAUGCGUAGAUAUCGGGAGGAACACCAGUGGCGAAGGCGGUUGCCUGGGGCUGUGCUGACGCUGAUGCGCGAAAGCGUGGGGAGCGAACAGG